This 426-nucleotide ribosomal RNA is filed under the name uncultured Chamaesiphon sp. RNAcentral describes it as "bacterial SSU rRNA". It matches the Rfam family "Bacterial small subunit ribosomal RNA", at positions 355 to 795 of the family's 1533-position model. Lineage: Bacteria; Bacillati; Cyanobacteriota; Cyanophyceae; Gomontiellales; Chamaesiphonaceae. The record is from RNAcentral.
UGGGGAAUUUUCCGCAAUGGGCGCAAGCCUGACGGAGCAAUACCGCGUGAGGGAGGAAGGCUCUUGGGUCGUAAACCUCUUUUCUCAGGGAAGAACACAAUGACGGUACCUGAGGAAUAAGCAUCGGCUAACUCCGUGCCAGCAGCCGCGGUAAUACGGAGGAUGCAAGCGUUAUCCGGAAUGAUUGGGCGUAAAGCGUCCGUAGGUGGUUUUGUAAGUCUGUGGUUAAAGCGCGAAGCUCAACUUCGUAAGGGCCAUGGAAACUACAUAACUUGAGUGAAGUAGGGGUAGAGGGAAUUCCCAGUGUAGCGGUGAAAUGCGUAGAGAUUGGGAAGAACACCGGUGGCGAAAGCGCUCUACUGGACUUAUACUGACACUGAGGGACGAAAGCUAGGGGAGCGAAAGGGAUUAGAUACCCCUGUAGUC